Lolium rigidum is the source of this 261-nucleotide long non-coding RNA. RefSeq lists it as uncharacterized. NCBI's taxonomy places the organism in Eukaryota, Viridiplantae, Streptophyta, Magnoliopsida, Poales, Poaceae. The transcript is spliced from 4 exons. The record is from RefSeq and is a predicted model, not a curated record.
CUUUUCAAAUAACAAGAGGGAUUUCUCUGAAAUCUGCAUUUUCUUUCUUUAGGAUUCAGUUCAUGCCUCUUAGUGUUGUUGUUUCAUUUAUGCUAGCUUCAUUAACAUGCAGCUAGAACAACAACAGAGGCACAAGCAUGAUGAAGACACUCGAGAGACCUGCAAUAACUCUCUUAUGUCUCCUCCGGCGCCCCAAACAUGCAGCUAGAACAACAACAGAGACACAAGCAUGAUGAAGACACUCGAGAGACCUGCAAUAAG